Molecule: small nuclear RNA, 108 nt
Organism: Suncus etruscus (white-toothed pygmy shrew)
Lineage: Eukaryota; Metazoa; Chordata; Mammalia; Eulipotyphla; Soricidae
Source: RefSeq, a predicted model, not a curated record
AAGAAUCCUACCCAGUGCUUGCUUACUAAAAUUGGAAGGAUACAGAGAAGAUUAGUAUGGACCCUGCACAAGGAUAACAUGCAAAUUUGUGAAGUGUUCCAUAUUAUU